Molecule: long non-coding RNA, 2854 nt
Organism: Rosa chinensis
Lineage: Eukaryota; Viridiplantae; Streptophyta; Magnoliopsida; Rosales; Rosaceae
Exons: 3
Source: RefSeq, a predicted model, not a curated record
GUGACAACUUUCUUUCACGUACUCUGCAUAAAGGAAACUUCAAGUUGUAACAGGAAAAGUCCCCUGGUACAAUCUUUUGCCAGGACAUUAUAGGGAGAACAGACGUCGAGAUUUUCAGUGGGGCUGGAGUUAAGGAAUCUCAAGACUUCAAGAGAGGGGUUUUGGAAAAAGGGAUACUGGCGAAAAGGGAGAUCGAUUACAUUCAAGACUAAAUUAUUUGGGACAAAGACGUUUUUAUAUAUAUAUGAAAGCUGUUUUCAGCAAGGCAGGGGAGACAAUUGGUAUAAACUAUAUGACGAUGGACGUGUCUGAUCAGGUAAUGGAGAUUUUAUCUUAGUAUUCAAUUGAUUCAGAUACUUCUCUGCAUGAUCGCUAUAUCAACCAAAUUCAAUAGAUUCUUAGAAAAUUAACACCAAUCAAUGUAAUCAACAAUCACAAAGUAAAUUCUUGAACUAAUCCAUCCAAAAUCACAAAGCAAAUCCAUCGAAUCAAAUGAACCACCUUCUAACCAAAACUUCAAAAUUAGUGAAGAUCAAAACCAUACCUUGCAACCUUUCUGAUCAAUAACUGGAAUUCCAAAGCCAAAGAUAAACCAAACCCCUAGAACCCAUAUCAAUUACACACCAAAGGACACAAAAACUAACAAAAACAAUACCAGAAGAAAACUUCCAGACCUACAAUCCUCACUCUCGCCACAAAUUCAGUGUUGUGGAAACCAAAUCCCCUUGUUUCUUUCUAUUCGAGUACCAGAGUCUCCAAACCAAACCCAGUCCCUUCUAGAGCGUCAAAAUACAAACAGGAAAACGACGACCGACCACUCUCGAGUCUUAACGCAGAUUCAUAGUGGCAACCCGUAAUUUCUUGAAAAUAAAGGGCAAAAAGGUCAUUACGCACGCUAAUGAACAGUAGUUGUGAAUGAACAGUGGAUUGACGUUUAGUAUAUUUAUUUUAAAUGUCUGUGUUCAAGGUGUGCGAAGCAGCGGAGAAUAUAGAAUUUUUCAGUCUAAAUCUUCUCCAACACAGCACAAAGGAUAGUUUCUGAGAAAGAUUGAAAAUGGUCGAUAAAGCCAACAGAGCUGUAAGCCCCUUUUAAUCUUUUCUCGCCAAAAGGUAAUCCCUAUCUUAAAGUUUUGAUCUUUUUAAGUUUUUGGCUUCUGGGUUUUGUGGGGUUUUGAGGUACGUUUUGUCGUUUUGAAGUGAAAUGGCGGGUAGGAAAGUUUGGAACUUUGUGGUAUUAAUUACCUUUUGCUUUAUGGGUUUUUUAGGUUUUGAAUGCAAACGUAUGGGUGGUCUAGGCUCUGUAUACAGUCUCAGCGCUGCCUAACCUUCUGCAUAACCAUCUGCUGUAUUGCUUUUGACCUUGGCGAUAGAAGAGAAAGCACUUGGUUUUUGAACGUGGCUUCUCAGGUGGCAAAAUGGUUUUUAUUCGGGGCACCAAUAAUUCAAUCGCUCAGAUCAGAUGUGUUCUUCUUAAAGAAGAUAUUGAAGUUAAGCAGCGAGGACAUCAUUGGCUCUGGAGGGUAGGGACAGUUUAUAUACUUACAUAGUAGAUGACACCAUCCCCUUUGCUGUGAAAAGACUGAACAGAGGAAGUGCAGAUAGAGAUCGAGGAUUUGAGAGAGAACUUGAAGCAAUGGGGGAUACAAAGCACUGGAACAUCAUGACUCUUCAUGGAUAUUACACCUUCUUGUAUACGAACUGGUAGCUAAUAGAAGCUUGGAUUGAGUGCUUCAGGGUGUGCAUAUAUAUUAAUUCAAUUUCUACGUUGCUAAGAUUUAUACAUUUGAGUUUCAGUAUUAAUUUAGUUUGCCAUACUUGAAAAGUGCAAAUGAAAUACUGCUUUGAAAGUAAAUAGCAUUUGAAACAUUAGAAUUCCUAAGGAACACGAAUAAAAGUUGAAUACUUGAAAGUUUUCAGUUCCAUGGUCAUUAAUCAAUAUGUUCAUUAAUUUGUAUGUUUACUGUACAUGCAAUGCAGGAAGAUCACUGUCGAACAAGUGUUUGGAUUGGCUGUCCAGAUACAAAAUAACGCUAGGUGCUGCAAGAGGAAUAUCAUAAUUUCAUCUUUGAGAAAUUACUGAAAGGCUUGAUUGGAUUUGAAAUUUUCAGUUUCAAAUGAAGCUUCUAUAUGCAUGUUAUCUUCUUAGUGUGCGUAUAUUUAUAUUUGUGUUACAGUUAAAGCAUCACAGAAAACUAUAUGAAGCUUAUGUCGCGAUGAAAGUACAAAAUCUACCUGAGGAAGAUGAAAAGAAAAGGCGAGUGGGGAGUUCAUCUUACCUCACAGGCAACUGCAGACAGAGUAAGUUCCAGCUCUACGCCUUUCAAUUUUUUAUUUACUGCUACACAUGUUUGCCUCCUCAUUAUGAUAAAUAGAAGCACCAACCUUAUUAUCAAGGCUAAUAGGUUUCAGAAUGCAUACCACAUCAACAAGAGAGCUAAUAGAACUGCCAAGAAACCAGCACCGAGACUAGCUAGGAGAUGAGUGAAAAUAUUGUCAGCGAAACCUGGAAAUUUCAAAACUGUUUGCAUAAUUAGUAUGAAGAAUCAGGACUGAUUGGGAUUAUCAUAUUCUAACAACUUUAUUAAGCAGGUCCAGUUCAUUAUGAACCAGUUUGGAGUUUGGCUGCUGGGGAAGAUCAAAUUUUUAAAUUCUAAGAAUUUGAAUUUCUGCUAUUAGUUUAUUUUUGGGAUUUGGGGAUAUCAACAUGCAACCAAAGAUAAAUUGAUGAGUUAUUGUUGUGUUAUGUUUUAGUUAGAUAAUAUAUAGAAUGAUGAGUGUACUGAAUUUGUAAAAAUUUGUGCUUUGGAAUUUGUGGAGGUAAAAGGUUUGGUGUUGCAGAAAUGGCUACUAGAGC